Long non-coding RNA from Gorilla gorilla gorilla (western lowland gorilla), 1832 nucleotides. RefSeq lists it as uncharacterized. Lineage: Eukaryota; Metazoa; Chordata; Mammalia; Primates; Hominidae. The transcript has 2 exons. The record is from RefSeq and is a predicted model, not a curated record.
UCAUUCUGUCUUGCAGGCUGUUGUACAGUGGCCUGAUUAUAGCUCACUGUAGCCUCGAAAUUCUGGGCUGAAAUGAUCCUCCUGCCUCAGCCUCCAAAGUAGCUGAGACUACAGGCUGGUCUUGAACUCUUGGGCUGAAGAGAUCCUCCCACCUCAGCCUCCCAAGGUGUUGAGAUUACAAGCAUAAGCCACCUCACCUGGCCAAGAGCUAGUUGUUAAAAGAGCCUAGCACUACCCCCCUCUUUCUUGUUUCCUCUCUCAUCAUGUGAUCUCCACACACAUUGGCUUGCCUUCCCUUUCUGACAUGAGUGGAAGCAGCCUGAGGCCCUCACCAGAUGUGGAUGCCAGUGCCAUGCUUCUUGUACAAUCUGCAGAAUCAUCAGCUAAAUACACCUCUUUUCUUUAUAAAUUACCCAGCCUUGGGUAUUCCUUUAUAGCAACACAAACAGAGAAAGACAUAUGCAAUUUGCCAUUUUAAUCAUUUUUAACUGUACAAUUUGGUGGUAUUAAUUAUAUUUACAAUGUUGUGCAACCGUUACCACCAUCUAUUACCAAAACCCUUUCAUCACUCCAAAUAGAAACUGUGCUUAUUCAGCAAAAACUCCCAUUUUCCUCUCCUUCCAGCCCCUGGUAACCUCUGGCAACCUCUAAUCUACCUCCUGUCUCUAUGAAUUUGCCUAUUGUAAAUAUUUCACAUAAUGGUAUCAUACACUAUCCUUUUGUGUCUAGCUUAUUUCACUUAGCAUAAUGUUUUCAAGGUUCAUCCAUCUUUUAGCAUGUAUCAGUAUUCCAUUCUUCUUUUCUAUGGCUGAAUAAUAAUUGUAUGUAUAUACUGCAUCUUGUUUAUCCAUUUAUCUUUUUGUUUGUUUGUUUUUUAAAGACAGGGUUUUACCAUGUUGGCCAAGCUAGUCUCGAACUCCUGAACUCAGGUGAUCCGCCCACCUUGGCCUCACAAAGUACUGGGAUUACAGGCGUGAGCCAUCGUGCCUGGGCUAUCCAUUUCUCUUUUGAUAGACAUUUUGGUUGUUUCUACCUUUUGUCUAUUGUGAAUAAUGCUGCUAUGAACAUUAGUGUACAAGUCACUGUUUAAGUUGUUGUUUUCAAUUCUUUUGGGUAUUAGGCCAUUCUUGCAUUGAUAUAAAGAAAUACCUGAGACUGGGUAAGUGCCAAAGAAAAAAUGGUUUAGUUGGCUCACAUUUCUGCAGUCUGUACAGGAAGCAUAGCAGCAUCUGCUUCCAGGGAGGCUUCAGGAAGCUUCCAAUCAUGAUGGAAGGCAAAGUGGGUGCAGGCAUGUCACAUGGCAAAAGCCAGAGCAAGAGAGGAAGUGGGGAGGUGCUGCACACUUUUAAACAAUCAAAUCUUGUGAGAACUCACAAUCUUGAUGACAGCUAGAGAUGGUGAAGCCAUUCAUGAGAAGCCACUCCCAUGAUCCAAUCACCUCCCACCAGGCCCCAACUCUAACACUGGAGAUUAAUUACAUUUCAACAUGAGAUUUGCAUAGGAACAAACCAUCAAACUAUAUCAGGUAUAUACUUAAGAGUAGAAUUACUGGGUGAUAAUUCUGUUUUACGUUUUGAGGAAUUGCCAAACUAUCUUCCUCAGCAGUUAAACCAUUUACAUUCCCACCAGCAGUAUACUAGGUUUCCAAUUUCUCCACAUGUUCAACAACACUAGUUAUUUUUUCUUCUAAUUAUAGCCAUUCUAGUAGGUACAAAGUGGUAUCUCAUUGUGGUUUUAGCAUCUUUUGAGUUGCUUAUUGACCAUUUACAUGUCUUUUUUUUAGAGAAGUGUCUAAGUCUUUUGUCCAUUAAAAAAUUGAGUUAUUUAUCUUU